UACGAACCGUCCAAACGUUAUUCGGAAUCACUGGGCUUAAAGAGUCCGUAGGCGGCCAAUUAGGUGAGGUGUGAAAUCCCCCGGCUUAACCGAGGAAUUGCGCUUCAAACCGAUUGGCUAGAGGAAGAUAGAGGAAAGCGGAACUGAUGGUGGAGCGGUGAAAUGCGUUGAUAUCAUCAGGAACACCGGUGGCGAAAGCGGCUUUCUGGGUCUUUUCUGACGCUGAGGGACGAAAGCUAGGGGAGCGAACGGG
Molecule: ribosomal RNA, 253 nt
Filed under: uncultured bacterium
Lineage: Bacteria
Description: partial 16S ribosomal RNA
Rfam family: Bacterial small subunit ribosomal RNA
Source: RNAcentral